GUACUUGGUUCUACAGCACAUAUAAUACAAUUGGAACAAAAGAGAAGAUUAGCAUGGCCGCUGGGCAAAGAUGACAUGCAAAUUCAUGAAACAGUCCAGGGCUUU
RNAcentral lists this small nuclear RNA (105 nucleotides) under Chinchilla lanigera (long-tailed chinchilla). The record is from RNAcentral. Lineage: Eukaryota; Metazoa; Chordata; Mammalia; Rodentia; Chinchillidae.